This 245-nucleotide ribosomal RNA is filed under the name uncultured bacterium. RNAcentral describes it as "partial 16S ribosomal RNA". It matches the Rfam family "Bacterial small subunit ribosomal RNA", at positions 524 to 768 of the family's 1533-position model. The record is from RNAcentral.
UACGUAGGGACCGAGCGUUGUCCGGAUUCAUUGGGCGUAAAGAGCUCGUAGGCGGCCACUCAAGUCGAAUGUGAAACCUCGAGGCUCAACCUCGAGCCUGCAUUCGAUACUGGGCGGCUAGAGUCUGGUAGGGGGAUCUGGAAUUCCUGGUGUAGCGGUGGAAUGCGCAGAUAUCAGGAGGAACACCGGUGGCGAAGGCGGGAUCGUGGGCAAGUACUGACGCUGAGGAGCGAAAGCGUGGGGAG